CGACCUCCCCGCCCGGCCGGGGAGCCUUGCGAGGGGCGGCAGCCUCGGCGAUCCCCGACCCGGCUGCAGGCUGCGCCCCGCGGGCCGGAAGGCUGCGCCCGCUCCUCGCCACCCUUCCCUCCCCUCCCUGAAGCCUGGCCAGACCCCUCGGGGACGCUCAGAGGCGCACCGCCGCUGUCUACCCGGGGAAGACGCGACUUUGCUGUUUUUGUCUUUGGGGGUUUUUUAAUGGUGGCUGUUAGGCUUCCCCCGCUCCCCAGCCUUCCUGUCCCCGACGCUCGGGAAAGGCGCGUUCGCCCCGGGUGCAGCACCGGGCACCGCGACCGGGCGGGCUCAACCCUGGUAGGAAAUGAAGUGGGUGUCUCCAGACCACAGCCUCCGGGCGCCGCUGGGGGAAGCCUGCGUGGUGCUCCAAAUCCACCUGCAAGCCCCGGGGCGCCAGGGUCUUUGCUGCCACCGCUCGCCCCAAAAUGAGCUCUCAAGCGUCACCUGACCGCUGGUGCCACCGUCUUUCCGGGCCAGUCUGCCUGGUUCCCAGACCUGCAGGAGAGAUGACCUUAAAGCCGGCCGCCCUCCCUCACCCCAUUCAACCCGAGAGCUGGGCUGGAAAGAGCCCGCUUCUGAUUCAGUGAAAUCGCUGGGCCACUUCACUUGCGUCUUCCCGACCCUACUUCGGAGAAGCUUCUCCAACGCAAACCCCUUCCAGGCGUCCCAUUCGCUCCACAGGAAGUCAUAUGCCAUGGAUGACAGACACUCCCUCAAUUGAUUCUGGACCUCCUUUAUGUGUUCUCAUGAGACCCCCUCUACUUUUUCAGCAGAGGACGCAGGACGGCUUGGCAUUUCAUACACCUGAGAUAUUUAAUGGACACAUUUUCGCAGGCUUUGCACUAUAAAUUCCACAAGAGGAAUUUAUCUUCAGCUCUUAGCACGGUGCUAGUCACAACCAAGUACAUACCUAUAAAUGACUGCAUGAAAGAAAAAUAGAUACAAUUCAGGAAAGCCAUUGUCUGGGCCUUGGAGAGCUGUACAACCGGGACACGAUAGAAUAAAAAAAGAUAAAGGACUCAUUUUACCCUGUUUACAUCACUUAUGGAAAUCUCUGAUAUUUUUCAAAACUCCUACCAUACCUUCAAGGAUAAAAUACAUCAUUCCAUAGAAACCAUAUUUUGAGGCAAGUACGUUUUUGAAAAUAAUUAACAAAAAUGAAAUAGAGAAUCAUAAAGAAAGGAGAUCAACUUAUAGCAUUUUGACAUUCUAAAUGAAUCAAUCCUUCAUCUUGGUCAAUUCUGUGAGAUAUUUUCCUCAUUUAUGCUUUGAUUGUUUUGUCUUAAUAAAAAUAUUCAACUAUGUUCUAA
Herpailurus yagouaroundi (jaguarundi) is the source of this 1355-nucleotide long non-coding RNA. RefSeq lists it as uncharacterized. Lineage: Eukaryota; Metazoa; Chordata; Mammalia; Carnivora; Felidae. The record is from RefSeq and is a predicted model, not a curated record. The transcript is spliced from 2 exons.